GUGGGGAAUCUUGCGCAAUGGGCGAAAGCCUGACGCAGCCAUGCCGCGUGAAUGAUGAAGGUCUUAGGAUUGUAAAAUUCUUUCACCGGGGACGAUAAUGACGGUACCCGGAGAAGAAGCUCCGGCUAACUUCGUGCCAGCAGCCGCGGUAAUACGAAGGGGGCUAGCGUUGCUCGGAAUUACUGGGCGUAAAGGGCGCGUAGGCGGACAGCUUAGUCAGAGGUGAAAGCCCAGGGCUAAACCUUGGAAUUGCCUUUGAUACUGGCUGUCUUGAGUUUGGGAGAGGUGAGUGGAACUCCGAGUGUAGAGGUGAAAUUCGUAGAUAUUCGGAAGAACACCAGUGGCGAAGGCGACAUACUGGCUCAUUACUGACGCUGAGGCGCGAAAGCGUGGGGAGCAAACAGGAUUAGAAACCCUAGUAGUCC
RNAcentral lists this ribosomal RNA (425 nucleotides) under uncultured bacterium. Its description in RNAcentral is "partial 16S ribosomal RNA". It matches the Rfam family "Bacterial small subunit ribosomal RNA", at positions 354 to 796 of the family's 1533-position model. The record is from RNAcentral.